AGAGAAUCUGAUCCCGGGUCCCACAACUUCACAUAUCGCGAGUAAGUGGGAGGCAAAGAAAAUUCUUUUUCUCCUCUUUUGGGACAGUUUGUGACUAGUAGUGCCUGUGCCCCUGGAAAGGUUGGAGACUUGGGGGACGACUGGAGAAUUGCCAUUUGAGGACCAAAGGAGAAAAGAAACUACACGCUAAUUCUAGAAGGCCUCCUGUCCCUGCCUGCUCUGGGUGCUCAUGGAACCAGCUGCUGCCCUGCACUUCUCCCGGCCAGCCUCCCUCCUCCUCCUCCUCAGCCUGUGUGCACUGGUCUCAGCCCAGGUCACUGUCGUGGGGCCCACUGAUCCCAUCCUGGCCAUGGUGGGAGAAAACACUACGUUACGAUGCUGUCUGUCACCCGAGGAAAAUGCUGAGGACAUGGAGGUGCGGUGGUUCCAGUCUCAGUUCUCCCCUGCAGUGUUUGUGUAUAAGGGUGGAAGAGAGAGAACAGAGGAGCAGAAGGAGGAGUACCGAGGGAGAACCACCUUUGUGAGCAAAGACAGCAGGGGCAGCGUGGCCCUGAUCAUACACAAUGUCACAGCCGAGGAUAACGGCAUCUACCAGUGUUACUUCCAAGAAGGCAGGUCCUGCAAUGAGGCCAUCCUGCACCUUGUGGUGGCAGGUGCGUUGCUUCAUUUUGCUUUGUUACUUUGGCACUGUGUGACUUUGGGUAAAGCUUCUCUUCUAAAUUCCAGCCCAUUGCAGACCAGCACAAUCCUCUUUCCUGGAUCCCCAUUCCGCAGGGACACUCUCCCUAUGAAAAGAAGAUUCCAGGGAAAAAUCCUUCCUCCUGCACAAGGGCCACCAUGAGUGAGUUUGCCCUGCUAAGCCGUGGGCUUGACUUCUUGAGAAGCACAUGCAGAACUCAGUUGAGGCCAUGAGCCGGGGAAAAUGGUGAAUCUCGGAAGAGAAGUCCUAUGCCUGCCUUAGCACUGAGCUGUGCACUUCUGAGAGUGAGAGGAGACACCAUCAAUAAUUGUCUUGGGACAACUGGAAUAAACAGUGACUGCCCAGAGAACUACGAUAUUUGAAAUCUUAUUUCUUGAUGAAUAUUCAUCCUGACUUCUUUCCUGAAAUGCUGUUUGCAAAGAGAGUGACUUAUAUGUAAGUAGAGCGUUUUAUUAAAGCAAGACUUAAUACAGAA
Homo sapiens (human) is the source of this 1175-nucleotide long non-coding RNA. Ensembl annotates it as butyrophilin subfamily 2 member A3, pseudogene. Its record names the gene BTN2A3P. NCBI's taxonomy places the organism in Eukaryota, Metazoa, Chordata, Mammalia, Primates, Hominidae. The record is from Ensembl.